AACAAUAUUAUAUUGACAAUGAAUUACCGCCUUUAGUCUUUACAUGUAUUUGAACGUCUUGAUUCAUCUUCAUGGUAUAGUCAGCUGUUGUUGUUGCUAGCUAGCGAUAAUUUCGUAGCUAACGUUAGCUAUCUAGCUACCCAAAUGGUUCCUCCAGCUGCAACUAAUUAUUUUGAUGUUUCCAUCUAGCUUGCUAUCAAAUUGAGACAAAUGUAGCUAUGUAUGAGGGACCAUCUCUAUUUUGGACCGUUUUCAAGGACUGUCAAUCUGAAUUUAAAGUGCAGUUUUUUUUCUUCCAGUGGAACGUCUGUUACGUAACGUAAUUUGUUGCACUGUCAACACAGUUUGUACUUGCAAGAAACGUCUGGCCAAGGUGCAUUGGGAAAGGAUAGCCAGCUAGUUUGUAAACAAUGGCAACCAUGCGUCGUCCAAGGUACUCUCUCCGAGACUCUCUGUACUGGGAUGAGACUGAGUGCCUGACGUACUAUGGGAUGCUCUCUCUACACGAGAUGUUUGAAGUUGUCGGUUCUCAACUGACAGAGACAGACGUUGAGGUGCUGUCGUUCCUCUUGGAUGAGACCUAUCCGGCUGGAGGGCACCCCUUGGACCCAGCUGGCUGGACCAGCGAGCCCGGUGAGGAAGACCCUGAGGCCAGUAAAGGAGUCUCCCCCAGCCCAGUGCUCCUGGAGGCCUGGCGGCGGUUACAGCCCAAGGGUCCUGCCUUGGCCUGCCCUACUGCUGCCCGCCACAAGCCCAAGAGUGGUCUAGAACUGCUGCUGGAGCUGGAGAGACGUGGGUACCUCAGUGAGGGUAACCUGGAGCCCCUGUUGCAGCUGCUGCGAGUCCUGACACGACACGACCUCCUGCCUUUGGUGUCCCGCAAAAAAAGGAGGACAGUAUCACCAGAACGUUUCAGAGUGGACUACGGGACAGAGGACAGAAGACAGGUUUGCACAUCUGGACUGACUGACCCCUGUGCACAGACAGAAUCACAUGAUGAACACGCCACACAGCAAUGGAGGGGGGGUGUUGACUCUGCCAGGCCAAUGCCCGCCCCCCUACGGAAGAAGAGGGGUAAAGGCCGCCGCUGGACCAGCAAGCCCACCGCCCACAGGAGAAGAGCGGGCAUCCCCGAAACGCCUCCCCCACCUAUACCUGAGAAAGUGACCUGCGACAUUCGUCUGCGUGUGCGAGCAGAAUACUGGGAGCAUGAGUCGGCUCUGCGCGGCGGCGUCUCCUCGGACAAGCAGCAGCCCCUGGAGCGGCAGUUUGAGCUGUUCAGUCGUGCCACCUCCGUGCUGCGCGCCCGCGACCUGGGCUCCAUCAUCUGCGACAUCAAGUUCUCAGAGCUGGACAACCUGGAGGCCUUCUGGGGGGACUAUCUGAGUGGAGCGCUGCUAGAGGCCCUGAAGGGGGUGUUCAUCACAGACUCUCUGCGGAGGGCGGCGGGGAGAGAGGGGGUCCGGCUGCUGAUCAGUGUGGACCAGGAUGACUACGAGGAGGGUCGCAGACUGCUGCUGGACGCACAGGAACAACAGGCCGGCUGCUGGGGACGAGACAGGCAUCAGAGCCAUAUACACUACCUGGUCUCACGUUGUCAUACUUCCUAGACCCAACCUGAGAAAGCUGGUUAUGGACGUUCGGCUCUGACAGACAGACAGUCAGCUGUGCGAGGUCAUGAGCCCAAGGAUAGAGGAAUGAAAAGGAGAAUAAAAUAUGAAGAGGAACAUUUUCUUUUUUCUCUCCUUUUUAAGUCUCUCAUGCUGAGAAUAGAGGAUACACAGCCACUCCUAGGUCAGGGGAAUAGUCCCCAGGGAAAACAGCCAAACUUGAAGUGAAGGCAAACUGGACUAAAAGACUUGACACACGGUUCUGUUUGGAAUUGAUAACACAAGUUGCACUGAGCCUAGAUGCCCUCACGGCACUGAGGAAGAGAGUGCCUCUGAGACACACAGAGAGAAACUAAACUUCCACUGUAACACACACACAAACUACCACUGUAUCUAACAUACACGCUCUGUAAAAUCAUCCACACGAUGAACCAUCAGCGCUGCCUGUAAGACUCAUUGAAGCCUAGAGACAUUUCUUGCUAACAGUGACAGCCCAGAUACCAACUAGACUGUGCGCUAAUGCUGAGAAUCUCUGGUUAUGUUUGAGGAGCGUGUGAGAUGCCCUGCAAGGCGAACUUCACCCGCCUAAAUAUUAGUUUGCGUUUCCAUUGAAAUGUAUGAUUUUGAAAAGAUGAGCGAGACUGCAGCUCUCAGACACUGAGGGAGAGAUGAUGGGGAAAUGAGAUUAUGUUUUGACCUUUUGGGAGAGAAUUAGAAAUAGAUGGCGAAGUGAAGACUACCUGAGGACAGUGUAGUGGACAAAUCGCUGGUCCUUCGAGAACUCCAGUCCACACACACACACACACACACACACACACACACACACACACACACACACACACACACCAUGAUCACAAGCCACUGGUAGUCCCAUCACUGUGCCAUGCUAACCCAGGGCCUGAUAGCUGUGGUCAGUGGCCAUCUCAUCUCAGAUGCCAGGAGAUGAUGGGAGUGAUUACCUCUCAACCUCAGCCAACCAUGGAGAACUCAUCACAUCACCACAAGUUGUUGAACAGCAGCUGGGAUAACACACACUAGGCUGUGCUCACCCCGGCUUCCAGCAAGGCCACUGCCUUUCCCAUUGGAACUGGAGCACAGGACAGUGCUUCAGUCAAUAAAACUGAUGUGGAGGAGAUCAAAAUCAGAAGGAUACAUCCUAGUUCCACUCAGCCCUGCCUUGUAGGCCCCACUAGAGUGGCUCACAGAGCGCUGUCUGUCUCUAGUCUAGUCACCCUGGUGGAACUAAUGCCUGAACUCCUCUGAGUGGGAUCAAUAACCCCCUCUGUCUCUCCACCACCACCAUGGGAGGAGAAGGAGUAAGGGGAAAGAGAGGAGAGGUAGGAGAAGGGGGAAGAGGGAGAGGGGGGAAGGAUCCCCACCUCCAUCCCGCCUUUCAGCUCCUGGACAGCCGCCUCAUCCUCUGCAGGAUAAGUCUCCUGGUGCAACCAGGCUGCCUGGUCUGCUACAGCACUGUGUCUGGUUCACACAGCCCUAUGGGACCAGGGAUGGAGGCACUCAGGAAAACCUUAGUAGUGUUUUGCUUUUUCUGUGUUUUGGUAUAUGGAUUCGUUAGUGUAGCUUUGUAUUGUUCAUAAGAGAAAAUAACAAAAAUACUGUGUGUUCUAGUUCAUUAACUUAGGGUGAACUUUUGUUUAAGUAGCUGGAUAUUUUAUUUAGGCACUGCAAAAGUGCUGUAUAUUAGUUUAAUAUAUUAGUGGAAAGUUGGAAUUAUUUCAAAUAAAAAUAAAUGAUUUAUCAAAGGUU
This is an RNA transcript of Salvelinus namaycush (lake trout), 3374 nucleotides long. It is a transcript of the gene named DNA-binding death effector domain-containing protein 2-like, with no coding region annotated. The transcript is spliced from 7 exons. The record is from RefSeq and is a predicted model, not a curated record. Lineage: Eukaryota; Metazoa; Chordata; Actinopteri; Salmoniformes; Salmonidae.